This 253-nucleotide ribosomal RNA is filed under the name uncultured bacterium. RNAcentral describes it as "partial 16S ribosomal RNA". It matches the Rfam family "Bacterial small subunit ribosomal RNA", at positions 524 to 776 of the family's 1533-position model. The record is from RNAcentral.
GACAGAGGUGCCAAGCGUUAGGCGGAAUCACUGGGCUUAAAGCGUGUGCAGGCGGGUGGCUAAGUACCCUGUGAAAUCCCACGGCUCAACCGUGGAACUGCUGGGUAUACUGGGUGCCUUGGGUCAUCUAGGGGCUGCCGGAACAAAUGGUGGAGCGGUGAAAUGCGUAGAUAUCAUUUGGAACGCCAACGGCGAAAGCAGGCAGCUGGGGAUGCACCGACGCUGAGACACGAAAGCCAGGGGAGCGAACGGG